Molecule: RNA transcript, 315 nt
Organism: Rhinopithecus roxellana (golden snub-nosed monkey)
Lineage: Eukaryota; Metazoa; Chordata; Mammalia; Primates; Cercopithecidae
Gene name: 60S ribosomal protein L39 pseudogene
Exons: 1
Source: RefSeq, a predicted model, not a curated record
UGCCUCCACUUCUCGCCAUGUCUUCUCACAAGACUUUCAGGAUUAAGCGAUUCCUGGCCAAGAAACAAAAGCAAAAUUGUCCCAUUCCCCAGUGGAUUCGGAUGAAAACUGGAAAUAAAAUAAGGUACAACUCCAAAAGGAAACAUUGGAGAAGAACCAAGCUGGGUCUAUAAGGAAUUGCACAUGAGAUGGUACACAUAUUUGUGCUGUCUGAAGGUCACGAUCACAUUACCAUAUCAAACUGAAAAUGUCACCACUCUCUGGAGAGUUCGACGUAUUUUCCUCUCUGAAUCUAUUAUGAAUGCGUUGGUGGGC